RNAcentral lists this ribosomal RNA (446 nucleotides) under uncultured bacterium. RNAcentral's name for it is "bacterial SSU rRNA". It matches the Rfam family "Bacterial small subunit ribosomal RNA", at positions 330 to 792 of the family's 1533-position model. The record is from RNAcentral.
UCCAGACUCCUACGGGAGGCAGCAGUCGGGAAUAUUGCGCAAUGGAGGAAACUCUGACGCAGUGACGCCGCGUAUAGGAAGAAGUUUUUCGGAAUGUAAACUAUUGUCGUUAGGGAAGAGAAAGGACAGCGCCUAAGGAGGAAGCUCCGGCUAACUACGUGCCAGCAGCCGCGGUAAUACGUAGGGAGCGAGCGUUAUCCGGAAUUAUUGGGUGUAAAGGGUGCGUAGACGGGAAAACAAGUUAGUUGUGAAAUCCCUCGGCUUAACUGAGGAACUGCAACUAAAACUAUUUUUCUUGAGUGCAGGAGAGGUAAGUGGAAUUCCUAGUGUAGCGGUGAAAUGCGUAGAUAUUAGGAGGAACACCAGUGGCGAAGGCGACUUUCUGGACUGUACCUGACGCUGAGGCGCGAAAGCGUGGGUAGCGAACGGGAUUAGAUACCCCAGUA